Molecule: ribosomal RNA, 372 nt
Filed under: uncultured organism
Description: partial 16S ribosomal RNA
Rfam family: Bacterial small subunit ribosomal RNA
Source: RNAcentral
GCAGGUGGCAAGCGUUGUCCGGAAUUAUUGGGCGUAAAGCGCGCGCAGGCGGUUCUUUAAGUCUGAUGUGAAAGCCCACGGCUCAACCGUGGAGGGUCAUUGGAAACUGGAGAACUUGAGUACAGAGGAGGAAAGCGGAAUUCCACGUGUAGCGGUGAAAUGCGUAGAGAUGUGGAGGAACACCAGUGGCGAAGGCGGCUUUCUGGUCUGUAACUGACGCUGAGGCGCGAAAGCGUGGGGAGCAAACAGGAUUAGAUACCCUGGUAGUCCACGCCGUAAACGAUGAGUGCUAAGUGUUAGGGGGUUUCCGCCCCCCUUAGUGCUGCAGCUAACGCAUUAAGCACUCCGCCUGGGAGUACGGCCGCAAGGCUG